Molecule: unclassified non-coding RNA, 199 nt
Filed under: Saussurea salsa
Lineage: Eukaryota; Viridiplantae; Streptophyta; Magnoliopsida; Asterales; Asteraceae
Description: ITS2
Source: RNAcentral
CGCGUCGCCCCCAACCACGCCUCCYUUUUGGGGAUGGUGCUUUGWUUGGGGCGGAGAAUGGUCUCCCGUGCUCAUGGUGCGGUUGGCCUAAAAAGGAGUCCCCUUCGACGGACGCACGGCUAGUGGUGGUUUUCAAGGCCUUCGUAUCGAGCUGUGCUUACGUUAGGGAAUCGCUCUCCAAAGACCCCAACGUGUCGUC